Molecule: small RNA, 114 nt
Filed under: Megasphaera coli
Lineage: Bacteria; Bacillati; Bacillota; Negativicutes; Veillonellales; Veillonellaceae
Description: ydaO/yuaA leader
Rfam family: c-di-AMP riboswitch aptamer (ydaO/yuaA leader)
About the family: This family represents a conserved RNA structure found upstream of the ydaO and yuaA genes in Bacillus subtilis and related genes in other bacteria.
Source: RNAcentral
UAGUGCCGAAUCCUGUCUGACAGGUACGGGGGAACCAUGUUUUUGGGGUGAAGCCGCUCCGCGGCGGGCUGCCUUCAAGCCUAACCCGUCAGUUAACCUCGGAGGCGGAGAGGA